GAUGAACGCUGGCGGCGUGCCUAAUACAUGCAAGUCGAGCGAACAGACGAGGAGCUUGCUCCUCUGACGUUAGCGGCGGACGGGUGAGUAACACGUGGAUAACCUACCUGUAAGACUGGGAUAACUUCGGGAAACCGGAGCUAAUACCGGAUAAUAUAUUGAACCGCAUGGUUCAAUAGUGAAAGACGGUUUUGCUGUCACUUAUAGAUGGAUCCGCGCCGCAUUAGCUAGUUGGUAAGGUAACGGCUUACCAAGGCAACGAUGCGUAGCCGACCUGAGAGGGUGAUCGGCCACACUGGAACUGAGACACGGUCCAGACUCCUACUGGAGGCAGCAGUAGGGAAUCUUCCGCAAUGGGCGAAAGCCUGACGGAGCAACGCCGCGUGAGUGAUGAAGGUCUUCGGAUCGUAAAACUCUGUUAUUAGGGAAGAACAAAUGUGUAAGUAACUAUGCACGUCUUGACGGUACCUAAUCAGAAAGCCACGGCUAACUACGUG
Molecule: ribosomal RNA, 497 nt
Filed under: uncultured bacterium
Lineage: Bacteria
Description: partial 16S ribosomal RNA
Rfam family: Bacterial small subunit ribosomal RNA
Source: RNAcentral